RNAcentral lists this transfer RNA (77 nucleotides) under Clostridium perfringens. Its description in RNAcentral is "tRNA-Arg". It matches the Rfam family "tRNA". Rfam says of the family: Transfer RNA (tRNA) molecules are approximately 80 nucleotides in length. Their secondary structure includes four short double-helical elements and three loops (D, anti-codon, and T loops). Further hydrogen bonds mediate the characteristic L-shaped molecular structure. tRNAs have two regions of fundamental functional importance: the anti-codon, which is responsible for specific mRNA codon recognition, and the 3' end, to which the tRNAs corresponding amino acid is attached (by aminoacyl-tRNA synthetases). tRNAs cope with the degeneracy of the genetic code in two manners: having more than one tRNA (with a specific anti-codon) for a particular amino acid; and 'wobble' base-pairing, i.e. permitting non-standard base-pairing at the 3rd anti-codon position. Lineage: Bacteria; Bacillati; Bacillota; Clostridia; Eubacteriales; Clostridiaceae. The record is from RNAcentral. RNAcentral also lists the same sequence under 17 other names.
GUCGCAAUAGCUCAGUUGGAUAGAGCACACGCCUCCUAAGCGUGGGGUCGGGGGUUCAAGUCCCUUUUGCGACGCCA